This 253-nucleotide ribosomal RNA is filed under the name uncultured bacterium. Its description in RNAcentral is "partial 16S ribosomal RNA". It matches the Rfam family "Bacterial small subunit ribosomal RNA", at positions 524 to 776 of the family's 1533-position model. The record is from RNAcentral.
UACAGAGGUCUCAAGCGUUGUUCGGAUUCAUUGGGCGUAAAGGGUGCGUAGGCGGCGCGGUAAGUCGGGUGUGAAAUCUCGGAGCUUAACUCCGAAACUGCAUUCGAUACUGCCGUGCUUGAGGACUGGAGAGGAGACUGGAAUUUACGGUGUAGCGGUGAAAUGCGUAGAGAUCGGAAGGAACACCAGUGGCGAAGGCGGCUACCUGGACAAAUACUGACGCUGAGGCGCGAAAGCGUGGGGAGCAAACAGG